UAAAAGGUCGGGAAGCUCAGU
This 21-nucleotide transfer RNA is filed under the name Moraea insolens. RNAcentral describes it as "partial tRNA-Phe". The record is from RNAcentral. Lineage: Eukaryota; Viridiplantae; Streptophyta; Magnoliopsida; Asparagales; Iridaceae.